AUAUGAAAAAGGCAAACUAUUUGAAAAGAUAGGACGCAAAGCUUAGGGUCUAAGGUAGCAAUACUAUGAUCGCCUGGUUACCAAU
Molecule: non-coding RNA, 85 nt
Filed under: Halalkalibacter wakoensis
Lineage: Bacteria; Bacillati; Bacillota; Bacilli; Caryophanales; Bacillaceae
Also listed under: 1 other name
Description: Bacillus wakoensis c-di-GMP sequence
Rfam family: c-di-GMP-I riboswitch aptamer
About the family: GEMM was predicted in a large-scale screen for bacterial structured RNA regulatory elements. Genes associated with GEMM are involved in a diverse array of functions, including chemotaxis regulation, signal transduction, secretion and chitin.
Source: RNAcentral